RNAcentral lists this ribosomal RNA (884 nucleotides) under uncultured eukaryote. Its description in RNAcentral is "SSU rRNA". It matches the Rfam family "Eukaryotic small subunit ribosomal RNA", at positions 562 to 1471 of the family's 1831-position model. The record is from RNAcentral.
UUGUGCCAGCAGCCGCGGUAAUUCCAGCUCCAAUAGCGUAUAUUAAAGUUGUUGCAGUUAGAACGCUCGUAGUCGGAUUUCGGGGCGAGCCUUCCGGUCUGCCGAUGGGUACGCACUGGUCGGCGCGUCCUUCCUUCCGGAGACCGUGCCUACUCUUAACUGAGCGGGGGCGGGAGACGGAACGUUUACUUUGAAAAAAUCAGAGUGUUUCAAGCAGGCAGCUCGCUCUUGCAUGGAUUAGCAUGGGAUAAUGAAAUAGGACUUUGGUGCUAUUUUGUUGGUUUCGAACACCGAAGUAAUGAUGAGAAGGGACAGUCAGGGGCACUCGUAUUCCGCCGAGAGAGGUGAAAUUCUCAGACCAGCGGAAGACGAACCACUGCGAAAGCAUUUGCCAGGGAUGUUUUCACUGAUCAAGAACGAAAGUUAGGGGAUCGAAGACGAUCAGAUACCGUCGUAGUCUUAACCAUAAACCAUGCCGACUAGGGAUUGGGGGAUGUUCACAUAUUGACUCCCUCAGCACCUUACGGGAAACUAAAGUCUUUGGGUUCCGGGGGGAGUAUGGUCGCAAGGCUGAAACUUAAAGGAAUUGACGGAAGGGCACCACCAGGUGUGGAGCCUGCGGCUUAAUUUGACUCAACACGGGGAAACUUACCAGGUCCAGACAUUGUGAGGAUUGACAGAUUGAGAGCUCUUUCUUGAUUCGAUGGGUGGUGGUGCAUGGCCGUUCUUAGUUGGUGGAGUGAUUUGUCUGGUUAAUUCCGUUAACGAACGAGACCUUAGCCUGCUAAAUAGUGACGCGAACACUUCGUUCGUGGGCCACUUCUUAGAGGGACAACUUGUCUUCAACAAGUGGAAGUUUGAGGCAAUAACAGGUCUGUGAUGCC